CAGCGCCACAAGUGGGAACCACAAUUAUUGGGCCUAAAGCGUUCGUAGCCGGUUGUGUAAAUCUUUUGUGAAAUCGUCAGGCUUAACCUGACGGAUUGCAGAAGAGACUGCACAACUAGGGACCGGAAGGGGUCAGGAGUAUUCCAGGGGGAGCGGUAAAAUGUUAUAAUCCUUGGAAGACUACCUGUGGCGAAGGCGCCUGACCAGUACGGGUCCGACGGUGAGGAACGAAAGCUAGGGGAGCGAUCCGGAUUAGAUACCCGAGUAGUCC
Molecule: ribosomal RNA, 271 nt
Filed under: uncultured archaeon
Lineage: Archaea
Description: partial 16S ribosomal RNA
Rfam family: Archaeal small subunit ribosomal RNA
Source: RNAcentral